CAGGCCCUGUUGCAGCGCGUGUGAGCAGGGAAGACUCUCCCGGAGGUGGUGCUGGCCCCGGGGGCAGGCACCGCAGGUCUGCGGGUGGGGGCCGGGCUGGGGCGAUAGGCGGCCCGGCCUCACCGGGUUCCCUGAAGCUUCUUCUUCCUCUUGUGGUCGUGGACGAGGCGGAGUCGUGUCUCCACACUCCGAACGGGAUGGAUUUGGAAGAGGUCAAGGAAUUAUCUCACUUAAGGACAGUAUGCUUUGGGAAGUUGUCUGUUGGGCUUUUUGAGAGAAGCUGGGCGUCAUGCCACCAUGGAGGUACCUGGACUGUGUUUAACAAGAAGCUUCAUUGGAUUGUCCUCAAUUUCUCCAGAGUUCAGCUUUGCCCUUUGAAGGAUCUUAUGCCUUUUUCCUCUUCAUUCCAAAGGACAAGUCAAUCUUAA
This 428-nucleotide long non-coding RNA is filed under the name Sus scrofa (pig). RNAcentral describes it as "lncRNA (ENSSSCG00040066815.1)". Lineage: Eukaryota; Metazoa; Chordata; Mammalia; Artiodactyla; Suidae. The record is from RNAcentral.